CCUACGGGAGGCUGCAGUCGAGAAUUAUUCACAAUGGGGGAAACCCUGAUGCUGCGACGCCGCGUGGGGGAAUGAAGGUCUUCGGAUUGUAAACCUCUGUCAUGUGGGAGCAAAUUAAAAAGAUAGUACCACAAGAGAAAGAGACGGCUAACUCUGUGCCAGCAGCCGCGGUAAUACAGAGGUCUCAAGCGUUGUUCGGAAUCACUGGGCGUAAAGCGUGCGUAGGCUGUUUCGUAAGUCGGGUGUGAAAGGCGCGGGCUCAACCCGCGGACGGCACAUGAUACUGCGAGACUAGAGUAGUGGAGGGGGAACCGGAAUUCUCGGUGUAGCAGUGAAAUGCGUAGAUAUCGAGAGGAACACUCGUGGCGAAGGCGGGUUCCUGGACAUUAACUGACGCUGAGGCACGAAGGCCAGGGGAGCGAAAGGGAUUAGAUACCCGAGUAGUC
RNAcentral lists this ribosomal RNA (446 nucleotides) under uncultured bacterium. RNAcentral's name for it is "partial 16S ribosomal RNA". It matches the Rfam family "Bacterial small subunit ribosomal RNA", at positions 338 to 795 of the family's 1533-position model. The record is from RNAcentral.